CUGGGAUGUUGUCGCCUUCUGAACAGAAGAGCAGCAGCACAGCCAGAGGGAGAUCUUCUGCACAGCUGAACACAACAUCCAGCACACAUGAUAAAUUAUGAUAUGAGGUCUGCAUGAAGUUGCCAACAGGCAGAUGCAGCUCUCUCUCUCGGUACCUGUCUGUGUAAAGUCCUUUGGUUAUGCCUCCUCCGGGGAUGUAGAGGCGUGGCUCUGUGUUGGCGUCUGUCAAUCCUGGGAAGGCCGACACUCGCUCCAUCUCCUUCCAGCCAAGGUCCUUCAAAGCAUCCGCACUCACCUUCAGCAGGGACGGAGUGACCAGGUACCUCAAAGGAGUGCUAACAUGGACACAAAUAUGUUAGCAGAGAUCACUGCAAACAGCAAAGGCAAAGAAAUGCAGCGAUGAUGUGAAGUCCACGGUUGGAAGUACCCUUGUAGCUGUUGGUCGUCCCUCUGGUAGGCAUGGCUGCUGGACAGAACUACAGUCCUGGAGAACCCGCUGGCUUUGAUCCAAGACACGAGCAACUGACGGAACUUUUUGGAUUUUGUCUGCAAUUAAAACAAAGGUUCGAGCCACAAAUACAGUAAAUACACCCACUCCAUUCUAGGUCCAUGGAAACACAAACUACAUCAUCAUCAUCAUACAUAAAUGUGUAGUUCAUGCUCUCUUAAAACAUAUCUCAGCUUAAAAAAAACUAGAUUAUACAAUUGAAAAGGUAGGCCUCAAACUCAAGAGAACACUCAUUUAGGUCAUAAAAAAUGAAGAAUCACCUCAUGCCGAUAUGCAACAGACUGAUUUUACCUGAAUAAUUGGUGCUCUGAUUUGAAGAACUGCCAUCUUCAGUUCUGCUGCUGUGUAAACUGUUGAUGAGGAAAGGUUAACAGAUUAAUUGUGGGUUAGUUUUUUUGAAUGUGUUGGGUUUCUUUUUAACUUCACAGCAGUGACAAAUUACACUGCUGACACUUGUCUCACAAUUUAUUCACAGUGUGCCGACACCCACUGAGACCCUGUCUAUUCGGUAAAGAAGCACCAUUCAGUCUUCAUUUUAGUCUUUGACAACCAAUGACUUUGGGAGAAUGUAGAGAAACACCAUAAGACAACUGGACCAGAAGACACUGACAGGAGACAUGGCCUGUUUAUCAAACAGUACAACACAUUUAACACUAAUAGCUUUCAGUACAGAUCAGUGUUUUUGGCUACACUUGCAGAUUAGCAAACUAUACUUGCACAGACAAAUUAAAGUUAGUAUUAGUUAUAUUAGCAGAAUUGAAUGAAUAACAAAGUACCUCAAACAGGCCCUCAGUGCUGGUUUAAUAGAGAACAUACUUCACAGAUGAAAUUUGCACAUUUAUUAUGUCUUAUUUACUUAGAUGGUACCUUCUGCAGGGGUGUGCAGCUCCUCAGCAUCUUCUUUGCAGGUAGCGUACGGGUUGUUUCCAGUCAUGGGAAUGAGACAGUCUGUGUGUAUGUAGCCAACUCUGCUCAUGUUGAGAGUGGACACAAUGAGGUCCACAGCCAGCUGGCCCACAUUCCCAACAGCCACUGCUGGCUGGUGGGGAGAAUACAAGUAUGAAUUGUUUCAUUCUUUUUUUCGUGCAAAAAUCCAGCUGCAUUUCAUGGUUUAGUAACGAAUUGCAGCCCUAUAUAAAAAGGUAAAUGGUGAUAACAUAAA
Long non-coding RNA from Sander lucioperca (pikeperch), 1670 nucleotides. RefSeq lists it as uncharacterized. The transcript is spliced from 2 exons. NCBI's taxonomy places the organism in Eukaryota, Metazoa, Chordata, Actinopteri, Perciformes, Percidae. The record is from RefSeq and is a predicted model, not a curated record.